Molecule: ribosomal RNA, 397 nt
Filed under: uncultured bacterium
Lineage: Bacteria
Description: bacterial SSU rRNA
Rfam family: Bacterial small subunit ribosomal RNA
Source: RNAcentral
GAAUCUUCCACAAUGGGCGAAAGCCUGAUGGAGCGACACCGCGUGAAGGAUGAAGGCCCUAGGGUCGUAAACUUCUAAAAGAGGGACGAUAAUGACGGUACCUCUUGAGAAGCACCGGCUAACUCCGUGCCAGCAGCCGCGGUAAUACGGAGGGUGCAAGCGUUAUCCGGAAUCACUGGGCGUAAAGGGCGCGUAGGUGGUCUGUUAAGUCUGGCGUUAAAGCCUGGGGCUCAACCCCAGAUCAGCGUUGGAUACUGGCAGGCUAGACGGUUGGAGAGGCGAGUGGAAUUACCAGUGUAGCGGUGGAAUGCGUAGAUACUGGUAGGAACACCCAUUGCGAAGGCAGCUCGCUGGACAACACGUGACACUGAGGCGCGAAAGUGUGGGGAGCAAACCG